GUCCUGUCACAGGUACCCAACCCCAAAUCAAGGAGGGUCAUACCUGCACAAUGCUUUACGGGGUCAAUUGCCGCGGUAACCUGACCGUGCUAAGGUAGCGUAAUCACCUGCCUAUUAAUUGUUGGCCUGUAUCAAUGGUCCCACGCUGGAAGCGCUGUCUCAUUAAUAUUAAUUUGAAUUUAACUUUUGGGUGAAAAGGCCCUAAUAACACUGAAAGACGAUAAGACCCUAUCGAACUUUAAGCUAAACGAGAGCCUCAUUUACCUCUGAAUCAUGUACAACGGCCACUCUAUACGCCUUCAGUUGGGGAAACUGGGAGCCAAACAAAGCGCUCACCCGUCCUAGCACAAAUUUGGAAUCAUCCCCCCAUCGGUCAGCCGAUGGGGACCUUCCACCAGUUAAUGGCCUCCGGUUAAUAAUAGCUUCACAAAACACUUGUCUGACAAUACCUAAAUAAUUAACACUAUAAUCCUCAAAACUCUAUCAGAGCCACUGAGAAAUCGGAAGAGUUACCGUAGGGAUAACAGCGUAAUCCCCCUGGCGAGACCACAUUAAUGGGGGGGUUUGCGACCUCGAUGUUGGCUUGGGGCCUCCUAAGGGCGAAGAGGCUUUUAAGGGUUGGUCUGUUCGACCAUUAAAG
RNAcentral lists this ribosomal RNA (640 nucleotides) under Notoacmea pileopsis. RNAcentral describes it as "partial 16S ribosomal RNA". It matches the Rfam family "Bacterial large subunit ribosomal RNA", at positions 1816 to 2593 of the family's 2925-position model. The record is from RNAcentral. Lineage: Eukaryota; Metazoa; Mollusca; Gastropoda; Acmaeidae.